UACAGAGGUCUCAAGCGUUGUUCGGAUUCAUUGGGCGUAAAGGGUGCGUAGGCGGCGCGGUAAGUCGGGUGUGAAAUCUUGGAGCUUAACUCCGAAACUGCAUUCGAUACUGCCGUGCUUGAGGACUGGAGAGGAGACUGGAAUUUACGGUGUAGCGGUGAAAUGCGUAGAUAUCGUAAGGAAGACCAGUGGCGAAGGCGGGUCUCUGGACGGUUCCUGACGCUGAGGCACGAAGGUCAGGGGAGCAAACGGG
RNAcentral lists this ribosomal RNA (253 nucleotides) under uncultured bacterium. Its description in RNAcentral is "partial 16S ribosomal RNA". It matches the Rfam family "Bacterial small subunit ribosomal RNA", at positions 524 to 776 of the family's 1533-position model. The record is from RNAcentral.